AAGUUCAUUGGAAUCUCGAACGGGAGCAAACUGAGCCCCUUUAGCUAGCUGCCUUUGAAGGCGGGCAACCUCAUCGGUCGCCAUCCUGAGCUUCCCCCUGUAUUCAUCCACCUGCCUGCACCAGCCGGCCCGAUAUGCAUCGUAGCUUGCCUCGACAUCCUGGAGCUGUUGCUGAAGGUCGGAGACCUUCUUCGACCAUUCCCGAUCGCUGUCGACCUG
This 219-nucleotide long non-coding RNA is filed under the name Elaeis guineensis (African oil palm). RNAcentral's name for it is "long non-coding RNA (EGUI_LNC081689)". The record is from RNAcentral. Lineage: Eukaryota; Viridiplantae; Streptophyta; Magnoliopsida; Arecales; Arecaceae.